GUACUCACUUCGGCAGCACAUGUACUAAAAUUGGAACGAUACAGGGAAGAUUAGCAUGACCCCUGCGCAAGGAUGACACGCAAAUUCGUGAAGCAUUCCAUAUUUUU
This is a small nuclear RNA of Nomascus leucogenys (northern white-cheeked gibbon), 107 nucleotides long. NCBI's taxonomy places the organism in Eukaryota, Metazoa, Chordata, Mammalia, Primates, Hylobatidae. The record is from Ensembl.